UGCCAGCCGCCGCGGUAAUACGAAGGGCCCGAGCGUUAAUCGGAAUCACUGGGCUUAAAGCGUACGCAGGCGGACUUGAAGGCAUCUUGUGAAAUCCCUCGUCUCAACCGAGGAACUGCAGGGUGAACCAUAAGUCUUGAGUCAAGUAGGGGCUGUCGGAACGCUAGGUGGAGUGGUGAAAUGCGUUGAUAUCUAGCGGAACGCCAAAGGAGAAAUCAGACAGCUGGGCUUGUACUGACGCUGAGGUACGAAAGCGUGGGGAGCGAACGGGAUUAGAUA
This 279-nucleotide ribosomal RNA is filed under the name uncultured bacterium. RNAcentral's name for it is "partial 16S ribosomal RNA". It matches the Rfam family "Bacterial small subunit ribosomal RNA", at positions 506 to 784 of the family's 1533-position model. The record is from RNAcentral.